UCGAGUUUGGUAAUAGCUGGUUCUUCCCGAAACAGCUUUGGGGCUGGCGUCUCCAGCCAAAAUACGGAGGUAGAGCACUGAAUAGAAUUCCUUGGAGUUUCUCCAGGUCUUCUAAUCAAACUCCGAAUGCCGUAUUUUUUGUGGAGGCAGUUAGACUGCGGGGGCUAAGCUCCGUGGUCAAAAAGGAAACAGCCUAGAUCGUUGUCUAAGGUCCCUAAAUUAGACUAAGUGUUAUGAAGGAAGUGUUUUGCCCUCGACAGGCAGGAAGUUAGCUUAGAGGUAGCUAUCUUUUAAAGAGUGUGUAACAACUCACUGUCCAAACUUUCCGGAUUUCCGGAGAGAAGGGCGAGAUGCGCCAAAGAUUUCCGGGGCUAAAGUUUAAUACCGAAGACAUGGAUGUCAAUAAUUUAUUAUUGGCGUGGUAGGGAAGCAUUCUUAUCGCUGCGAAGCAGGAGGGGAACCGACUGUGGAGCGUUAAGAAGAGAGAAUGUUGGCCUGAGUAACCGCAUUGCGGAUGAAAGCUCCGCACACCGAAAGUCCAAGGUUUCCUUGGCAAUGGUAUUCAACCAAGGGUUAGGCGGUCCUAAGGUGAACCCGAAAGGGGUAACUGAUGGACAGUUGGUUAAUAUUCCAACCCUUCUUUAUUUUUUCGACAAAGUGCGCAGUGCUGUAAUCCUGGCGGAUUAUUGGAUUUCACGUUCUUGGUAUGAGGAGCAAUCCGAGUACACAGAAAAUUCGGCCUCGGCUGGAAAUUGGGACGAGCGCGCUGCCUAGAAAAGCUUUGAAGAGCUAAGGAUAAAGAAUCCGUACCGCAAACCGACACAGGUGGACAAGCGUAAGUAUGCUAAGGUGAACGGGUGAGACCUCGUUAAGGAACUAGGCAAACAAGUGGAUGUAAGUUCGCAAUAUAUCCUGCCCUUGUCAGCAAUGGCAUAGGGCUGCAACAACCGUACUUCUACCGACUGUUUAUCAAAAACACAGCUCCCUGCUAAACUCGUAAGAGGAUGUAUAGGGGGUGAGGCCUGACCAGUGCUGGAAUGUUAAGUUUGGGGGUCCAGGGCGCAAGCUUUGGGCUCACUGAAUGAAGCACCAGUGAACGUCGGCGAUAACUAUAAUCGUCCAAAGGUAGCGUAAUCCCUUGCCGGGUAAGUUCCGGCCCGCAUGAAUGGCUUAACGAGUGGAAGACUGUCUCAACGAGGCGCCCGGUGAAAAUGCAAUACCAGUGAAGAUGCUGGUUACCUGCGGCUAGACGAAAAGACCCCGGAAGCUUUACUGUAGUUUGAUAUUGGAUUAUGGUUUUCAAUGCGUAGCGUAGUGGGGAGCCUUCGAAGCAUCACUCUCGGGUGGUGUGGAGGCGCCAAUGAAACACCCAUCUUUGGGAAUUAUAAUUCUAAUCCUAUUUACUUAGGUGACAGUGUUAAAUGGGCAGUUUAAGUGGGGCACUUUUCUCCUAAAGAGUAAUGGAGAAGUUCAAAGGUUGGCUAGCUUCGGAUGGAAAUCGAAGCGAUAGGGCAAAGCCAUAAGCCAGCUUUACUGCAAGACGGCUAUGUCGCGCAGUUGGGAAACCAGGACUUAGUGAACCGACUUGUUUUUAUAGAAAACAAGAAGAUCAUCAGCCAAAAGCU
RNAcentral lists this ribosomal RNA (1625 nucleotides) under activated sludge metagenome. RNAcentral describes it as "bacterial LSU rRNA". It matches the Rfam family "Bacterial large subunit ribosomal RNA", at positions 833 to 2464 of the family's 2925-position model. The record is from RNAcentral.